This is a long non-coding RNA of Lingula anatina, 385 nucleotides long. Lineage: Eukaryota; Metazoa; Brachiopoda; Lingulata; Lingulida; Lingulidae. The record is from RefSeq and is a predicted model, not a curated record.
CACCAUUUUAAAAUCCGAAUGCACGCCGCGAGUGACAUUGUUGUGUCAGUCUUAAUGAAGACGCUCUUUUGAUAUAACUUUUAUUUGAGUGAUUUAAUGAUUAUGUGAAGAAGAAGAGUAAUUGUGGAAAUAAGGAGGAAGAAGAAGAAAUGGCUUUGAAUAGAAAGCGAGGAAGUAGUUUUUUACAUCAGACAGAUGUAGAAAACAGCAAUACAAACCACAAGGACAGUACGCAUUUAUUACAGAAAAGACCUUGUUAUGAUCUCAGGGUAUCUGCUCACAUUACCCAUGUAUCAGGAAAUAAUGAAUCCACAUUUAAUAUGAAUAUCAACAACCGUGUCUUCUCUCAAAACCAAACUGACACAGCUGAAUCCAUGGAGGUAAG